UCACAUGUUCUUAACAAUGAGAUAUGCUCAAUUAUUCAUUUCAUAAACACUUAAUGCCAUUAACCCUAUAAUGUAUGAAUAUUAAUUUAUUCAUAUACAGAUAUGCUCAUGAAGGUAAUAUAGACAUAAAGAGUGAUUCAAUGAUUUCGGAUAGCACCCCCCACCUGUAGAGAUGCCACAAAUUGGAAUCAACGUCUCGAACUGUAUCAACAACGAGCUCUCGCGACUCAGUGUAAAUAAAGCUAGAAUGGCUUAUACCGUAAUUAGUGCGCCACCGACCUGUCGUAAUGUCAAUUUUGACUUCUGAACAUGUUUAACUUUCAUUUAUAAAGAAAUAAAAGAGAUUAAACUUAAGUCACAUUCACAUAUUUUACAAAUUUGCAUUUCUAUUCCAAUUUGCUUGUGUAUAAAUAUAUAUAUGUAUAGUGUCAAUAUCUUUAUACAUAUAGUCUGUUAUUAAACUCCCUAUGGCAGUUUAAGAUUCUUAAGUCAAAACAAUUCAUAAUUACUCCCUUAAGGGCAGUAAACAUCAACUCUAAUACUUAACAUUGUAAAUUUUGCCAUAGGUUCCACUCUAACUUAAUCCACAAUUUAUAUAUCAACUAUAUUGCAUAUAACUUACCAUAGGUUUAAUACCUGAUCAUUCCUACUCAAUAAGCUAAAUCAUGCACAACCUUUUCUUUACACCGUUCUUAAUACUAAUACACAAUAACAUGUUCUGUAGGUUUAUUAUGCUAUUUAAAAUUUCAGCACUUUAAUUGAAAAAUAUUUUAAUUCUUACCUCGAUUUCGAGCUCCUCCAACUUAAUCAGCUAGCAAGCUGCUAACCCUCAAACUCCCUUUUUAAUUUGGACCACCCAAAGAAGCUCCCUCAGCUAAUUUGGGCGCCCAAAACUCCUCCAAGGCAGUAGUUACAUAGCCCCUAACAUCAUUUAAAAGGGAUAAUGUCACGCCCCGGGACCACUACCAAUUUGGUCCGGCCCGGGCGCGUCAAACAGACGCCGAACGGACAGGACCUCCCCUGUCCGCCCAAGGCUAACCAACAGAUCAUGUAUAAGAAUUUACCCAGGGAUCAAUUCAUACAUACACGAUCAAGAUGCACCAUCAGUGCUAACAAGACGAGAGCAAGAUACAAGUAUGAAAAUAUACAAGUACAUAAAGAGAGAAGAUGCUAUCUAUUGCAUUCAUUUGACUUAAUACAUUUAAUUACAUCUUUUACAUUCUUCCAAAAUAUAAAUACAAGCACUCAACCUCACCCUAUACAACGUCUACUCUCAAAUACAAAAAGGGUGACAGCUAAUGCAAAAAGGGAGGUAGCUAAUGCGACUAGAGCGUCGGGCCCUUACCACGAUCAUCACGCUCACCGGGGGCGCCCGAACUCGAGCCUGUAAAAAGUGGGGUGAGAACUAUCUUCCAUAGUUCCCAGUGGGUUCGGCCGCCGACUCCGCCGAUCUCCCCACUAGGUCCAAGCGGGCAAAAGUAGAUAAUCGAUAGAUAGAUAGAUAAGGAAAGCGGUAAAUGACAGAAGUAAAGCUACGCUACUAUGCCCAAUCAUAAUUAUAUGAAUGCAUGUACAAUGAAAUAGAUAAACAACUAACCCAUUAUCAUGUCCAAAGGUAAAGCUAUUUACUCGUUCAUCAAUCUCAUUUACUUGUUUCUUAAUCUCGUGGCUUCCCUGAAGGAGCCUACUGCUCACUAGCCAUCUCGAAGGUAGGGAGGGUCAACUCGCACUACGAACCGAGACCGUCUUCCCGGCCCCAAAAUAGGCAAUCCCUUGGGACCCAAAAUAGGCAAUCCCACGUGACCAACUCCGGAGCGCACUACUUGUGUGGGGCUUCCAUCACAAGAUUUAAAAACAGACCGUGAGCAUGAUCCAAUCCUCGUCUCGAGAAUACCCUAUCCUCUAGGGUUACAAUCAUCAUAUAGUCCAUAGGCGUCAUAUACACCAAGUUUAACAUGCAUCACUUGUUUUCUUAUACACUAUCAACUAGAUUGCCACUCGUCCAUGGUUUACUAUCGACUAGAUGCCACUCGUUCUUUGUUUAUCAUUAGACCAACCAUUGAGCUCAUCUCUUUUUCUGCACUAUAGGAUUCACAAGUCUCGACCCAAUCCUUAUCGAUCCACUAUAUCAAGUAUCCAAUACAUGCUACGAUAUCAUCAAGGAAACUAUAAGGAAAGGCAAUGCACAAUCAUCCUAUAAUGCAAUAAUAUAAGAUGCAAGAAUCGACAUGUACUAAGACAUAGAAGGGAACCCGAUUGCUUCGGGAUGGACACCACCCACCUCUUGGCGAUGCCGUGACGGUAGAAAACUCGGCGCUGCGGUUCUUGCACGUCGUCCUAACUCCUCGGGGCGAAGCGAGCCCUCAAGUACCCGAUUCGGCGAUUUCUCCGCACCCGCUCGUCGGAUCGAGAAACCGACUUCGCCGACGUGUUCCGGGACCUAGCAAUUAGGUUUGCGACCUAUUAGAUUAGAUCAAAACCCUAGAUUUGCCAAAAUCCCAAUUCUGAGCCCUAGGACUCAAUAAUGGAGAAAUCCGCGGUGCGAGUUUCGAUUUCGAGCUCGAACCUUCUCCCUAGUUCCAUUAGGUUCUAUUCGAACCAUCUCUAAACCAUAAAACCCCCAAACCCUAGAAAACACCAUUAAAGGGGUUAGAGCUUACAUCUCUUCAAGACUCCAAGCUUGAGGGAGAGAGAAGAAGACAAUAUUCUUCUUCUUCUUAGUCUUCUCCUUCCCCUUUCUCUUCUUUUCCUUCAUCUUCUUCCACUCCUUCUUCUCCUUCUUUUCUCUCCUAGAGAGAGAGAGGGAAAGAGUGUGAAAGGGAGAGAGAGAGCAACUGAGAAGGAGAAAGGGGUCCCUAAGCCCUCAUAUAGGCCAUUUUGCAGAUAGCCCCCUCAACUUUUCCUUUCCUGAAACAGCCCUCCCUGGGCCAUUUUCGCAGUGAGGGACCGGUCCUAACUCGGGGAGACCGGUCCCCGAAGGCUGCCAUUUCGAGCAGAGGGGUUUUCGCGUUCGGGAACUGGUCCUUGCCUGAGAGACCGGUCCCCGGGAGACCGGUCCUUGUCCGAGAGACCGGUUCCCGAAAGUUGGAUUCUCGGGACUUAGCCAAAUUUCGGCUAUUCUCGCUGGGCUGACGUUCGGGAACCGGUCCUUGCCUGCCAGGGACCGGUCUCAUCAGAGACCUCCGCAGCCCAACCCGAUGCGACCGGUCCUUCCCUGCCAGGGACCGGUCCCCGAGAGCAAUUCUGCUCCAGUGCAGAUUUCGCACUGGUGCUCCCGCGGACCCUUCUUUAAUGCACUUUAUGCAUUAUAAUCACCUUCGGACUUUCCGAAGCUUACGCACUCGACAACUAGUCGAUUCUAAUCGAAGUCUAAUCCUCGAGUUUCGAGAAUUCACUUCCUUACAGAUAAUCUUAGCAUUUAUAAUUUCCUUAUAGUAAUUCAAUUCACUCACAGCAAGAAACAAUUAUCCACCUUACCUAAAUUAAGGCUCUAAUAGAUUUUUCUUCAGCUUAUCAUCUCAGAAAUCUCCACCCCGUUUUUCCUUAAUUCGGCCACAAAUCACCAAUCCAAUCUCGGCGCCCAGGAAUUCUCGAGGCUGCAGCUACUUCACAAUUGGGUCUUCACUUUGGCAGUUCCAACAACUCGAAUCCAGCUUAAUCUGCCCAUCUCAGCAACAAACCUCUAGUUUGUAACUUAUCUUUAUGGCAAUUAGUUGGAUUCUAAUCAAACAUGAGCCCAGUUUACCUUAAUUAGAUGCUCUAGCCGCAAGAAAUUAAGCGCUCAAGUGCCAUCCCUUCAGCUCGGAUCAACAAGGAGUUCCAACAACUAGCAGUUUCAUACUCCUCUCUUUACUUCAGCUUCUACAGAAAUUUUUCCUCGAGUUCCAGCUCUUUCUCAGCUGGUCCUUAAGCUCAAACAAGCCUCACAACAUUAGCCCUCAAGCUGCCACUUCUACACCAUCAACUCACCUAGGUUUUUAGAAAGAUAAGGAAGGGAAUAAAGAUAAGGAUCAGGGAAAACAGUUAGGUCUAAUCACAUGGGCACACAUGCACCACCCAGCUAAAUAUAAGUGAUAAGAUUGGAAAUUUUCUGCUUGACCCUCUCUUUCAACAAAAUUGCACUUCAGUCCCUGCUGCAAUUUAGUGGCCUGGUACCUCACUGAGGUACACACCUGUACCUCACUGAGGUACACAACACAAUUCUGCACUUGCAGAAUUUCCUGGCAGCAGCAUCAAAAUCAACCCCUUUUUCUCUUCCACCUUGCUUGGAAUAUUACUAAUCACUUCCAAUUUAUACUAAUACGCCUCUAUAAGUUGCCAAUUUAAUUUGGAAGCAAUUAAUUCUCAAUUUUUGCAUUAUUGUGAUCAAUUUGAUCCCAAUUAGCCCGUAGUCAAAAUUUUCGACAUAUUACAAUCUCCCCUCCUUAAAUAGUUUCGUCCUCGAAACUAAAUUUGUACCUUAGUUCUCCUGAUCAAAUAGAUGAGGAUAAGACUUGCGCAUAGCUUCUUCCAAUUCCCACGUGGCCUCUCACCUCAAGUGAUUGCUCCAUUGCACUUUCACAUAAGGAAUAGUGCGAUUUCGCAAUUCUUGCAUAUCUCGAUCUAGAAUGCAUACCGGAUAUUCUUCAUAGGUCAUAUUUUCCUGCAAGUCCACUGGUUCGUACUCCAGAACAUGUCCGGGAUGAUGUACAUAUUUGCGAAGGUUUGAAACAUGAAAUACAUUGUGUAUUCCCUCGAAUUUCGGCGGCGAAGCCAAUCUAUAAGCUACCGCUCCAACACGCUCCAAAAUCUCGUAGGGUCCAAUGUAUCGAGGACUAAGCUUUCCUCGAACACCAAAUCUCUUUAUCCCGCGCAUCGGCGACACCUUCAAGAAUACCCGAUCGCCAACCGCAAAUUCCAAAUUCUUUCGGCGCUUAUUUGUGUAACUUUGUUGCCGUGACUGUGCCGUCAACAAUCUUUGGUGGACUAGGCGUACCUUUUCUUCCGCUUCUUGGAGGAGCACAUCAGGACCAAGCACAAUCCGUUCUCCUACCUCACUCCAAUGAAUAGGGGAUCGACAUUUCCUCCCGUAGAGGGCUUCAAACGGUGCCAUAGCGAUACUUUCCUGAUAACUAUUAUUAUAGGCGAACUCGACCAUCGCUAAGAAAUCAUGCCAACCACCCCUAAAGUCAAGUACACACGCUCGUAGCAUAUCCUCCAAAAUCUGAAUCGUCCUCUCAGACUAUCCAUCAGUCUGAGGAUGGAAUGCUGUGCUAAAAUCGAGCCGUGUGCCAAGAGCAUCCUGCAAACUCCUCCAAAAGUGAGAUGUAAAUCGCGGGUCUCGAUCAGAUACAAUCGACGUCGGGACUCCGUGUAAUCUCACAAUCUCGUCGAGGUACACCUGUGCUAACUUGUCCUCCGACCAAGUAGUAUGAAUCGGUAAGAAAUGUGCCAAUUUUGUCAGUCGAUCAACAAUCACCCAUAUAGUAUCAUGUCCAGCCUGUGAGCGAGGUAAUCCAACUAUAAAAUCCAUUGCAAUGUUCUCCCACUUCCAGACAGGAAUAGGUAAGCUCUGCAACUUUUCCGCUGGGAAUCGACGUUCGGCUUUAACUUGCUGACAGGUCAAACACUGCGCCACAAACUGUCCAAUAUCUUUCUUCAUCCCAGGCCACCAAUAAUGCACGUUGAGAUCCUUGUACAUCUUAGUGCCACCUGGAUGGAUACUAUAAGGUGACUGAUGAGCCUCCUGUAGUAUAGCCCUCUGAACUUCCUCGUCUUUGGGCACGCACAAACGGUUUCGAAACCGAAGUGCUCCGUCUGACCCUACUACAAAAUCAUCACCACGCCCGCUCUCAAUCUCACACCGCACCUUUUGGAAAUACGGAUCUAAAGAUUGUCGGUCUUUAAUCUGUUCCAACAAGGUCGGUUGAACAACUAGAGCGGCAAGAAUAGCUGGCACCUCUGGAGCUACUACCUCAAAAUCAAACCGCCGCAUUUCAUUCUGCAAUGACGAUUGAAGUGUGAUCGCCGUAGCCAAGUUCUCAACUCACUUCCUACUCAAUGCAUCCGCUACGACAUUAGCUUUCCCAGGGUGGUAUAGAAUUGUAACAUCAUAAUCCUUUAACAAUUCUAACCACCGGCGUUGUCGCAUAUUCAACUCUUUUUGGGUAAAUAAAUACUUCAGGCCCUUAUGAUCUGUAUAUAUCUCGCAGUGCUCGCCAUAAAGAUAGUGUCUCCACAACUUCAAUGCGAAGAUCACCGCCGCUAAUUCCAAAUCAUGGAUAGGAUAAUUCUUUUCAUAAUUCUUCAACUGGCGAGAUGCAUAAGCGAUAACUCGACCACCCUACAAAAGUACACACCCAAGUCCACUGUAGGAAGCGUCACUAUAAACCACAAAACUCUUUUCCGUAAUCGGCAAGGCGAGAAUAGGAGUCGAAAUCAACCUUUCUUUCAACUCCCGAAAGCUACAAUCACAUUCUUCGCUCCAAACAUACUUAGUUCCUUUGUGUGUAAGGCGCGUUAGUGGAGUAGUAAUCUUCGCGAAUCCCUCCAUGAACCGCCGAUAAUACCCCGCAAGUCCAAGAAAACUGCGGAUCUCCGCAACAGUCGUCGGGCGAGGCCAAUCUUUAAUUGCCUCCACUUUCUUCGGGUCAACAGAUACACCACCCUCAGAAAUUACGUGCCCCAAAAACGCUACCUCUCUCAGCCAGAAAUCACAUUUCUUUAGUUUGGCAUACAACUGUUUCUCCGGCAGAAUUUGCAUCACUGUUCUUAAGUGCUCCUCAUGUUCCUCAUUGCUUCAAGAAAAGAUCAAGAUGUCGUCUGUAAGUACUACGACACACUGAUCUAACAGCGGCUUAAAGAUCCUAUUCAUUAGAUCCAUGAAUGCGGCAGGGGCAUUGGUAAGCCCAAACGGGAUCACUGUGAACUCAUAGUGACCAUAACGAGUACGAAACGCUAUCUUAUGCACAUCCUCUGGUUUGAUCUUCAAUUGGUGGUAACCUGAUUGGAAACUGAUCAAAUAAGUCAUCAAUUCGUGGCAACGGAUAUUUGUUCUUAAUUGUGAUCUUAUUCAGCUCGCGAUAAUCAACGCAAAGCCGAAGCGUUCCGUCUUUCUCCUUUACAAAUAACACUGGAGCUCCCCACGGUGACACACUAGGCUUCACAAAGCCUUUAUCCAUCAAAUCCUGCAACUGAGCUUUUAACUCCUUCAACUCAGCAGGUGCCAUUCGGUAUGGAGCCUUCGAAAUUGGCGCCGUCCCGAGAACUAAGUAAUAACGAACUAAAUCUCCCGGUCUGGUGGCAAUCCCGGUAACUCCGCAGGAAAUACGUCAGGAAUCUCUCGAACUACUGGAAUAUCUCCAAGUACUGGAAGUUCCUUCUGAGCCUCCACCACUGUUGCCAAAUAGGCUACACAUCCUCUACUAAUCAACUUUCUCGCACUCGACGUCGAUACUGUCAACGCAAAGAGCGAACUCUUACACGCCCAAUACACAACUUCUUUUUGCCCGGGUUCACGAAAAGUAAUUACUUUACUUUCGCAAUCAAUCGUGGCAUAGUACUUUGUAAGCCAAUCCAUUCCGAGGAUCACAUCAAAGGCUUUCAUACGGCUUGGUACUAGCAAAUCUGCAGGCAUAAUCCAAUCACCAACCUGUACUGGACACGCCGCACACACCUCGUGGACACUAAAUGUGUGCUCAGGGGCAUACACCCACCAGGCAUCCGCACUAUCCGAAAUCUCAAUAUCAUGCGUCUUAGCAAAUGAGCUACUGAUGAAUGAAUGCGAUGCGCCUGUAUCAAAUAAUGCACGAGAUCUAGUGCCAUAAAUUAAAACAAUACCUGCCACGACAUCAUCAACCACGGUCGGCUCCUCUGCCUGGGCUGCAAAUACACGACCACUCGGUGCAGGUCGAGGUGUCUCGGACUGACGCGGCGGAAAAGAACGUCCAGCUGACAUGGCGAGUGGGAGACCCGCACGCUGCCUCGAAGGUGACUGAAUAGAAGCUGUAGACUGGGCAGAUGAUGCUCCUCUGGGGCACUCGCGGAUCAUGUCCCAGCUGACCACACUUAAAAUACUUUCCCUCACGCUGUGGACAAACAGUCGGUCGAUGACUUCCGCCACAAAUCACACAUCUCGGGGGUCCCUGAUAUCUCGACUGAGCUCGUGGAUACCGAGGGGGCCGUUUGGAGCUCGACUGUCCCCCGGCACCACUAGUAGUCCUCUUCUUUCCUUUCUCUCAUUCUUUUUUCCUUUCAAAUGUUUUGCGUUCAUCCCGUGCAAUUGCGUUUCCACGCUCCACCCAUAGAGCUCGGUCCAGAACCUCUUCAAAAGUCUUCAGUUUAAAAGCAUGUAUUACUCUAAAUAUUUCAGGGCUCAACCCCCGCUCAAAGCACUCUGCUCGAUCUCGGUCACUAUGAACCAUGCCUGGUACGCAGUUCACCAAAUGAGUAAACUCCCGUUCGUACUCUCACACCGAACGGUUCCCCUAUCUUAGUUUGCGGAAAUCUUCUUUUAUUUUUCUUUUAUCACUAUCAGGGGAGUACUUCAUAAACAAUAGCUCUCGGAACUCAUCCCAGGUAAUCGGUGGCAGGUUUGGAGCUCGAUUUUUCUUAGCCUUUUGCCACCAAAUCUGUGCAUCCUUCUCAAAACAAUGUGCCGCCAAAUAAACCUUGUCCUUUUUCAGGGUAUAGAUAUCCUCAAACAGUGCUUCCAUUGAUGUAAGCCAUGUCUCCACUACCCACGGAUCUGCUUCUUUUCCAUCAAACAUAGGCGGAUUAAACCGCAUAAACGCCGUCAAUACUGCCAGUGAUCACUCAUGUUCGGCCUCUACUGCGGCCGCAUCUGCAAUAGAAAGCCCAGAAACCACAGGAGGAACAGUCGCUGGAGCAGGGGGGACUGUCGCCGGCGCCACAGGUGUAGGUACAUCCUGACUCCCAGGUGUUGCUGUUGUCGCCUGUCGCGACACUAAAUCCUGCAGCCUCUUCAUAUGCUCCUCCUGUCUCCGCAUAGCCCCAACCAACGCACUCACCUGAGCACGUAACUCCCAAACCUCGCUAGAUCCAGACUGCUCUGGCACCUCAGAAGGUGAUGCCGGAGUGGAUCUCGUCGCACGUCGCGGUGGCAUUUCUCCUGAAACACAACAUUCACGUUAAUAAAACAAAACCAAUCAGGAGAAAGCAAUCAAGCGUACUUAUACUAAACCUUUGGCUUUAUGUUGUUAGCCACCAACAUAAAUCCUUAAGUUGUGUACAAAUAUCACUUGGAUCAGCCCCUAAUUAACAUUAGAGACUUACUAACAACUAGCCCAAUUUAUUUGGCUUUCGCUAUCAUUAGAUUCACGCCACUCACGUUCCUAGUCCUUAUGUUUCCAUUCCUAACUCCCCUAGGUCAUCCUAAACUUUCAUUUAUCACUUGCUCUGAUACCACUUUAUCUGUCAUGCCCCGCUAUCACCAAUUUGGUCGAUCCGGUCCGUACACAGACGCCGAACGGACAGAACCUCCUCUGUCCGCCCAAGGCUCAACAACAAUAAGUACAUGUAUAAAGAAAUAAAUAAUUCCCAGGAUGACAUUUCAAUAUACAUAGCUUGCACGAGGGCAAGCAGCAAGAAUAAGUGAAACUGAGCUUAAUUAAUCAUGCAUUCACUAUAAUUUUAAAACUUUAAAACUAAACUAUGAAAACCGAACAACUGAAACAUUUCGUUAUUUACAUCAUUUACAGAUUCAUUUAUACAAAUAUUUAUAUGUCUUUCUAUUCAUCAUUAUAUUCAACAUGAACCAAAAUGGGUAUACCACUAUGCACUGGUGUCCACUAGCUAAGAUGCUGGGCUCUUGCCGCAAUCCUCGGCCACACCGCUCGCGCUAGGACCUGUAUGGUUAGUGGUGUGAGAACUACUAAAAGUUCCCAGUGGGUUCGGCCGCCGACCUCGCCGACUCACCCACUAGGUCUAUUCAGGCAUAUGUAGACAAGAAAAGAGAAUAGAUAGUAACCAACGAUAACAUGUAACUACUACAAUGCCUGUACAAAGCUGAAAGAAACUGUAGAUAAUAACUAAAAUUGAUGCAUGCAUGUUGUUCAUAAUUAUUAUCCAAUUAAACUGGUUAACCCUUUGGUUAACAAUAACUCACCGACGAAAUUCCAAGUAUCGGGGAGACGCAAGCUACAUCCCGAUAGGACUGUCUACUGGGGGAGGCGCUAGCUCCUGAUCCAGUUGAGAUGACUACUCCGGAGCUCAUCGUUCAAGGAGGAGCGACCUUCCUUGAACAUAAAACUAAUGUGAGUAUGAUCUGAUCCUCCUUUAGAAGAUCCAUUGAAAGACAAUGCCACACUUUAACUCUAACUAGCUCUUUAUGCUAGUUUUAUAAUUUCAAUGUCGACGCUAAUCAAUGUUUCUAGUCAUAAUGUCACCAGGUUUACUAUGUCAUAGUCCACAGUAAAAUUCACACAUUCAUAGGGUUCUAUGUCCACACUUUAUGGUUCACAUGUUCUUAACAAUGAGAUAUGCUCAAUUAUUCAUUUCAUAAACACUUAAUACCAUUAACCCUAUAAUGUAUGAAUAUUAAUUUAUUCAUAUACAGAUAUGCUCAUGAGGUAACAUAGACAUAAAGAGUGAUUCAAUGAUUUCGGAUAGCACCCCCCACCUGUAGAGAUGCCACAAACUGGAAUCAACGUCUCGAACUGUAUCA
This 10663-nucleotide long non-coding RNA is filed under the name Ananas comosus (pineapple). Its description in RNAcentral is "long non-coding RNA (ACOM_LNC006930)". The record is from RNAcentral. Lineage: Eukaryota; Viridiplantae; Streptophyta; Magnoliopsida; Poales; Bromeliaceae.